Molecule: ribosomal RNA, 253 nt
Filed under: uncultured bacterium
Lineage: Bacteria
Description: partial 16S ribosomal RNA
Rfam family: Bacterial small subunit ribosomal RNA
Source: RNAcentral
UACAGAGGGUGCGAGCGUUAAUCGGAAUUACUGGGCGUAAAGCGUGCGUAGACGGUUAUUUAAGUCGGAUGUGAAAGCCCCGGGCUCAACCUGGGAAUUGCAUUCGAGACUGAAUAGCUAGAGUGCGGUAGAGGGAAGCGGAAUUUCCGGUGUAGCGGUGAAAUGCGUAGAUAUGCGGAGGAACACCGAUGGCGAAGGCAAUCCCCUGGGCCUGCACUGACGCUCAUGCACGAAAGCGUGGGGAGCAAACAGG